Molecule: non-coding RNA, 24 nt
Filed under: Arabidopsis thaliana (thale cress)
Lineage: Eukaryota; Viridiplantae; Streptophyta; Magnoliopsida; Brassicales; Brassicaceae
Source: RNAcentral
GGAGUGUUAUGAAUAAAGAUGGAU